RNAcentral lists this long non-coding RNA (257 nucleotides) under Phoenix dactylifera (date palm). Its description in RNAcentral is "long non-coding RNA (PDAC_LNC009196)". The record is from RNAcentral. Lineage: Eukaryota; Viridiplantae; Streptophyta; Magnoliopsida; Arecales; Arecaceae.
UACUCGAAGAAUAGCGGUUGUAAGAGGUCGAUCCACAGGGAGGCGAUUGGAGUUGCACAAAAAUCAGAACGUUCACUCGGAUUUGAAAUCGAUUUUUGAAUGAUAGAAGAAAAACAUUAUAUCGGGGAUGAUGAUGGAAUCUCUAGUCUACCGGAGAAUAAUUUUUAAUUGAAAUUAACUAGACGACAUGUACUCAGAUUCAAAAAGCAUUUUUAAUAGAAAAAUAAAGCUCUGGCAUAAAAUUAAAAUGGAUGAAA